AUUGAACGCUAGCGGCAGGCCUAACACAUGCAAGUCGGGCGGUAACAGGGGAGCUUGCUCCCGCUGACGAGCGGCGGACGGGUGAGUAAAGUCUAGGAAUCUGCCCAGUAGAGGGGGACAACGCGGGGAAACUCGCGCUAAUACCGCAUACGCCCUACGGGGAAAGGUGCUUUCGGUACCGCUAUUGGAUGAGCCUAGAUCGGAUUAGCUAGUUGGUGGGUAAAGGCCUACCAAGGCGACGAUCCGUAGCUGGUCUGAGAGGAUGAUCAGCCACACUGGGACUGAGACACGGCCCAGACUCCUACGGGAGGCAGCAGUGGGGAAUAUUGGACAAUGGGCGCAAGCCUGAUCCAGCCAUGCCGCGUGUGUGAAGAAGGUUUUCGGAUCGUAAAACUCUGUUGUUAGAGAAGAACAAGUGGGAGAGUAACUGUUCCCGCCUUGACGGUAUCUAACCAGAAAGCCACGGCUAACUACGUGCCAGCAGCCGCAGUAAC
RNAcentral lists this ribosomal RNA (494 nucleotides) under uncultured Gammaproteobacteria bacterium. RNAcentral describes it as "bacterial SSU rRNA". It matches the Rfam family "Bacterial small subunit ribosomal RNA", at positions 30 to 524 of the family's 1533-position model. The record is from RNAcentral. Lineage: Bacteria; Pseudomonadati; Pseudomonadota; Gammaproteobacteria.